Molecule: ribosomal RNA, 362 nt
Filed under: Cassidula vespertilionis
Lineage: Eukaryota; Metazoa; Mollusca; Gastropoda; Ellobiida; Ellobiidae
Description: partial 12S ribosomal RNA
Source: RNAcentral
UAGAUACCCCACUAUACGGAGCUAAAAACUCACGGUGAAGCACUAAGACCUACAGGUUAAAACUUAAAGGGCAUGGCGGCGAGCUUAAUUCUUCAGGGGAAUUUACCAGGUAAUUGACAACCCACACGGUGCCUCUCUUGGUCUAAUAGUUUGUAUGCCGCCGUCUUCAGAUAACACCUAAGGUAUUGUCUACCCUCUAACGGAUAAAAGACAGGUCAUGGUGCAGCUAAUGACUAAGUGCUAGGUGAGUUACAGUAGUGCCUCUCUUCCGCUACAAGGAUUAAACUUUCCUUGUAAAAGAUGGACUUGAAAGUAAUAUCCAUAUAUAAUAAUAUUUGAAUUCAGAUUAGGUUCGUGCACAC